Molecule: long non-coding RNA, 3438 nt
Filed under: Salmo salar (Atlantic salmon)
Lineage: Eukaryota; Metazoa; Chordata; Actinopteri; Salmoniformes; Salmonidae
Description: lncRNA (ENSSSAG00000101769.1)
Source: RNAcentral
GGAGUAGCAGUGUUAUCUGUGGUGAUCCAUGUUUCCGUCAGCGCCAGGAAGUCUAGGGACUGGAGGGUAGCAUAGGCUGAGAUGAACUCAGCCUUGUUGGCCGCAGACCGGCAGUUCCAGAGGCUGCCGGAGACCUGGAACUCCACGUGGGUCGUGCGCGCUGGGACCACCAGGUUAGAGCGGCAGCGGCCACGCGGUGUGGAGCGUUUGUAUGGCCUGUGCAGAGGAGAGAGAACAGGGAUAGGCGGACACAUAGUAGACAAGCUACAGAAGAGGCUACGCUAAUGCAAAUGAGAUUGGAGUGACAAGUGGACUACACGUCUCGAAUGUUCAGGAAGUUAAGCUUACGUUGCAAAAAUGUUAUUGACUAAAAUGAUACAGUACUGCUGGCUGGUGGAGUAGGCUAGCUAGCAGUGGCUGCGUUGUUGACUUUGAACGUGUAGCUGGCUAGGUAACCUCGGUAGUUUCAGUACUACACCUUGUCAUGAUACAAAGCAACUUUGUAGCUAGCUAGCUAACAUAACACUAAUCAAGACGUUCCUUGUAUUGUAUUUAGUUUCAACAAUGCUGCUCGUCGGUAAUAGUUGGCUAGGUUAGGAAAAAUGGCGUCGCGGGGGACGGAAAUAGCUGGCUAGCUAACCUCGAUGGCUGGCUAGCUAACAAUUAUCAAGCUAUGACAAAGACAACUAGGUAGCUCGCUAGGUAACACUGCACUAGUCAAAUCGUUCCGUUGUGAAGUAUUAGUAACUACAGCGCUGCUAGUCGGUAACGGAUGGCUAUCUGGCAGUGGGUUAAUGAUGACUAGGUGUGUUGAGUAAGUCUGGCGCCGCGUCGCGGCUGGCUAGCACACCUCGAUAAUACUCAAACUCAAACUACACAAUUAUCUUAGAUACAGAGACAGCACAGACAACUAUGUAGCUGGCUAACUAACACUAACACCACACUAAUCAAGUCGUUGCGUUGUAAUGUAAUAGUUUCUGCGGUACUGUUAGUCGGUAGAAGUUGGCUAGCUAACAGUGAUGACUAGCUAGCUAGCAGCUAGCAGUGUUGACUACGUUAGGAGGACGAAGAUAGCUAGCCUCGAUAAUUACUCAGUUACUCUAAACUACACAAUUAUCUUUGAUACAAAGACGGCUAUGUAGCUAGCUAAGAAGAAUUGCUCAGAUCAGACCAAUUGCAAUGGUGACUAAUAGUGAUAAAUUGCACAUUUAAACUUUGCUUAUCGAGAUCUGUGCUUUAUGUGGACAGUUUGGAUGAGGAAAAUUAUUUAAUUUAGUCAGUGGUGUAAAGUGCUUAAGUAAAAAUGCUUUACAGUACUACAUAAGAUGUUUUUGGGGGUAUCUGUAUUCUACUAUUUCUCUUAUUUGUAAACUUUUACUUGACUACAUUUCUAAAGAAAAUAAUGCACAUUUUACUCCAUACAUUUUCACUGACACCCAAAAGUACUCGUUAUAUUUUGAAUGCUUAGCAGGACAGGAAAAUUGUCCAAUUCAUGCACUUGUCAAGAGAACAUCCCUGGUCAUCCUAAUGCCUCUGAUCUGGUGGACUCACUAAACAUAUGCUUUGUUUGUAAAUGUUCGAGUGUGCCCCUGGCUAUCUGUAAAUAGAAAUAAGAAAAUGUGCCAUUUGGUUUACUUAAUAUAAGGAAAUUGAAAUGAUUUAUACUUUUACUUUUAAUAAAAAAGUAUGUUUAAAACGAAAUACGUUUAGACAUUACUCAAGUAGUAUUUUACUGGGUGACUUUUACUUGAGUCAUUUUCUACUAAGGUAUCUUUACUUUUACUCAAGUAUGACACUUAGGUACUUUUCCACCACUGAAUUUAAUCGACUUCACCCUUAAUUACCCACUUUCUCUCCCGCUCUCUUUCUCUCCUCUCUCUAUCGUAGCAGCAAGAGGAGGGAAUACUUCACAUGAUGGUGCUACAUCACAUACCAACAGCCAUAAUGACAGCUAUAAUGACAGCCAUGACGACAACCGUGUUGACAAAAGUCAACACAUAUCAGGCCAAAGCAUAUCAAGCGAUAUGAAAGGCAAUUUUUCCAUUGGCAACCAGACCAACAUCACCAGUCAUUCCGCUCCACCAAAAACUCCCCAAAAAUCUGUCGUACCCAGCUUCACCAUUGCCAACGUUACAGGCGGCAAAGUGCGUCUCUACUACAAGUCAGAGGAGAUGGCUCUCAGUGACCUCAUCGAGGGGUGUAAACUCAAGAAGGGCGACUCCAUGCUCAUCCUGGAAGGCACCGUUAAGAAGAGCGUUCUCCCGCAUAAACUCUAUGUCACUGGCUUCCAAGUAGAAAAUGACAAUACUCAAUUAUGCCCUGAGGAAGGCCCAAUUUAUGGGAUGAACAACCUCCUGGCAGAGUAUGCUGAGGGUCAACCCAAGUCCUACAUCCUCACUGCUGACAAAGAGGUGAAGAUAGCUGAAACAGGAAAGAUCUGGAUGGAUGAGGACGGGUUGGAUCACAACCCCAAAAAGUAACGCCACCAGAGAACCUCCUGUAUCUUAACACCCUUUAUUAUUCACAGAUUAAACUACUUACAAAUUAUUGAUGAAAAAUAAAGAGAGUAUACAUCACAGAUAAGUGAAAUAGUGCUUCAAGAUACACUCUGUGUAUGGUAGAAAUCAGCAAUGUUAUCACUGUAGUUUUGUGACAAAUAAAUAAAUGUUACCUAACUGAGAAAACGUUAGUGUGUGUGUGUGUGUGUGUGUGUGUGUGUGUGAUUACAUUACAUGAUUGGAGAUGCCACCAGAUAUGCUACAUACGGAUACUUAUGUUAACAACGGUCAACAACACAAGAUUGUAAUAUACGUUUUAUUUCUAUGGUUGUAGUCAUUUUAUUUCAAGCAUACAAAGUGAUGGUGCAAGACACUUACAGGGAGCACAAAUAUAUAUAGCAGAGAAAAAGCCUGCAUAUUUCCUCAUUUCCUUGGAAUUGAAGAUCAUGUGAACUAGAAUGUUAGAUACAGUGCAUUCGGAAAGUGUUCAGAACCCUUCAGACUUUUUCUACAUUUUGUUACGUUACAGUCAUAUUCUAAAAUGGAUUAAAUACUUUUUUCUACACACAAUGCCCCAUAAUGACAAAGCAAAAACAGAUUUUUAGACAUUUUUGCAAAUGUAAAUUUAUUAAAAACUCCAAAAUAACUUAUUUACCUGUGCAUACGAAUUCAGAUCCUUUGCUAUGAUCGAAAUUGAGUUCAGUUGCAUCCUGUUUCCAUUAAUCAUCCUUGAGAUGUUUCUAUAACUUGAUUGGAGUCCACCUGUGGUAAAUUCAAUUGGUUGGACAUGAUUUGGAAAGGCACACACCUGUCUAUAUAAGGUUCCACAGUUGACAGUGCAUGUCAGAGCAAAAACCAAGCCAUGAGGACAAAAGAAUUGUCCAUAGACCUUCAAGACAGGAUUGUGUCAAGUCCCAAAUCUGGGGAAGGGUACCAAAAC